This is a non-coding RNA of Paramormyrops kingsleyae, 2038 nucleotides long. Lineage: Eukaryota; Metazoa; Chordata; Actinopteri; Osteoglossiformes; Mormyridae. The record is from RefSeq and is a predicted model, not a curated record.
AACAGCUAUGAGUCACAUGAAUGACACAGGAAACCAAGCAAGCUGAAGACUUUUUAAAUUUUCCACCUGCACUUGCACGUUCUCCCCGUGUCAUCAUGGGGUUUCUUCCAGGUGCUCUAUGGUUUCCACCUACAGACCAAAAACAUGCUGAGGUUCCACUCCCCUUUAUCUGCCUGCAGAGUGUGAGAAUGGAAACGACAGAGACAGUGAAGGUACAGAGGAUGACGAAGUGAGUGUUAGUUCCCACAGAUCUGGGCUCAGCGACACACACACAUAUGGAUCAUCUGAUGCUCCUGUUUCUUCUCAUUGCUGGGCUCACAGGUGCUGACAGUGUGUCCACAGUGAGAGAAGUGUCUGUACAGAGUGGAGGAUCUGUCACCAUCCCAUGUUUCUAUAAUGACAGAUAUAAAACAAAUGUGAAAUACUGGUGCAAAUGGAGUUCAUGUCCUCCCAUAUUAUGCACUGAUUCACCCCAGGAAGGUAAAGUCUCAAUCAGAGAUGAUCCUGACCAGCGAGUCUUCGCUGUGACCAUCAACAAUCUGACAGCUGGGGACUCAGAUUAUUAUUCAUGUGGUGUGAGGAUCAGUGGACGUUCAGAUGCUAGAGCAUCACUUCACCUUUCAGUCAUUGAUGGUUCCCCAGGGCUGUCAGUGGACAAACAGGAGGUGACUGGUGUGGAAGGAGACAGUGUCAGUGUUCAGUGUCACUAUACAGAUGAUUAUGGUCAGAGGAUGUGGUGUAAGAUGGGCGGCUCCUGUGUAUCAGUUAGAUCUGGGAGUUUGGAUCAGAGGCCUGUCCUGAUAAGGGAUGACACAGUAAAUAAAGUCUUCAGUGUGACAGUGAGGGGACUGGAGACGAAGGACACAGGCUGGUAUUGGUGUGCUGCUGGAGACCAGCAGAUACCAGUUCAUAUUACUGUCAGUCAGACGACUACAACCACAACCAGCACUGAAGCAUAUGAUGAAGAAGGAGUGAAUAAUGAAAAACCGAGGUGGGAUCCGGUUCUGGGUGCUGUACUGAAAGCUGGGACUGGUGUGUUUUAUCUGAUUUGCACCAUCAUCGCCAUUCAGCUGCACUGGAGCUCCUAUAGAAAGAGGGGAUCCAAUCAGAGAGAAGCAGAGGGAGGAGCCAAUACAAACCAUGAGUCUUAGGGAAUUGUGAUUAAAUUUACAAGCUCAUUAAUCCCAUUAUAAUGACUAGCAUCAACUGAAGAAACCUCAAGGUUGUAUCUGCAGGCUUACGCUGUGAAAUAUAUUUUAAUAUUUCAGAUUAUGCUGUAGCCAUUUAUUUGUCCAUGAAUCUUCCAGUGUCGGAGGAAGCUGGGAGGGGAAUGACCUUUGUGGAGUAAAAUGAGACAGAAGACCUGUAAAAUAAAUGGUUAUGCUAACUGCAGUGAGGCCUCUCUCACGCAGCCCUGCUCAAUCUGUCCAGAUGUACCAAACUGUGGAUUUUAAUUUUUUGCGUUGUCAGCUGGAAAAUCUCAAGCACAAGACCCAUACUCAUACCUAUGGAUGAGUGUGGGCUUAUUUUUAGUGGCUGGAGUGUUAAUCCUGCCACUGACCCCCAUUCUCAACAUGUAUGUUGAACUUCCCUACUAGGCUGAACAACGAUUAACAUCACACCCAAGAUUGCUCAAGGACCAAACAGAGCAAGAUAAUUCCUGACAUUCACAGGAUUUAAAUCAGCAACAUUAUGACUGCUGAUACAGAUCCCCAGCCUAAGAGCUGUAGCUCCAGGCUAUUAUGUAUCUAAUAAUACAUCAGAGAGACUGUCUGUGGCAUUCCAUUUUCAGUUGCGGUGGGUUUCAAAAUAUGGGCUUCCAAAAAUCAAGCCUAAUAAAAAAAAUUAAAUAUUAAAUGAGCAAAUUCAUUUGAUUUGUCCUUCUAUCCCAACUUGUGAUCUAAAAGCAAUGAGGCUGCCACACAUAAUAUCUGCUCUAUGGAAAUGCACUCCCAUAGCCUCUAGGGGAGCUCUCACCUUCUUUCAGGUCUGCUAAAUUAUGUUGCAAUUCAUUCCACUUGAAAAGAUACAACUUAAA